ACACUUACUAGGUAGAAGAGGCACCAUGAUCAGGCAGAUGGUUUUCCCAGGGCUAGGUUCAUCCCCUGCACUGUAGGUGUUCUGACUCCUUAAUGACUCAAUGCCAUUAGAGUACAUUGUGCACCAGUGCUCAUUAAAGACUUAUAAUCCUGUGAUUUUGAU
Coturnix japonica (Japanese quail) is the source of this 162-nucleotide non-coding RNA. Lineage: Eukaryota; Metazoa; Chordata; Aves; Galliformes; Phasianidae. The record is from RefSeq and is a predicted model, not a curated record.